This 385-nucleotide ribosomal RNA is filed under the name uncultured bacterium. Its description in RNAcentral is "bacterial SSU rRNA". It matches the Rfam family "Bacterial small subunit ribosomal RNA", at positions 136 to 507 of the family's 1533-position model. The record is from RNAcentral.
GACGUGGGUAACUUCGGGAAACCGGAGCUAAUACCGGAUAAUAUAAAAGAUCACAUGGUCUUUAUUGAAAGAUGGCUUCGGCUAUCACUUAUAGAUGGGCCCGCGGCGCAUUAGCUAGUUGGUGAGGUAAUGGCUCACCAAGGCGACGAUGCGUAGCCGACCUGAGAGGGUGAUCGGCCACACUGGGACUGAGACACGGCCCAGACUCCUACGGGAGGCAGCAGUAGGGAAUCUUCCGCAAUGGACGAAAGUCUGACGGAGCAACGCCGCGUGAGCGAUGAAGGCCUUCGGGUCGUAAAGCUCUGUUGUUAGGGAAGAACAAGUAUCGUUCGAAUAGGGCGGUACCUUGACGGUACCUAACCAGAAAGCCACGGCUAACUACGUG